GAUGAACGCUGGCGGCGUGCCUAAUACAUGCAAGUCGAGCGAACAGACGAGGAGCUUGCUCCUCUGACGUUAGUGGCGGACGGGUGAGUAACACGUGGAUAACCUACCUAUAAGACUGGGAUAACUUCGGGAAACCGGAGCUAAUACCGGAUAAUAUAUUGAACCGCAUGGUUCAAUAGUGAAAGACGGUUUUGCUGUCACUUAUAGAUGGAUCCGCGCCGCAUUAGCUAGUUGGUAAGGUAACGGCUUACCAAGGCGACGAUGCGUAGCCGACCUGAGAGGGUGAUCGGCCACACUGGAACUGAGACACGGUCCAGACUCCUACGGGAGGCAGCAGUAGGGAAUCUUCCGCAAUGGGCGAAAGCCUGACGGAGCAACGCCGCGUGAGUGAUGAAGGUCUUCGGAUCGUAAAACUCUGUUAUUAGGGAAGAACAAAUGUGUAAGUAACUAUGCACGUCUUGACGGCACCUAAUCAGAAAGCCACGGCUAACUACGUG
Molecule: ribosomal RNA, 497 nt
Filed under: uncultured bacterium
Lineage: Bacteria
Description: partial 16S ribosomal RNA
Rfam family: Bacterial small subunit ribosomal RNA
Source: RNAcentral